This 253-nucleotide ribosomal RNA is filed under the name uncultured bacterium. RNAcentral's name for it is "partial 16S ribosomal RNA". It matches the Rfam family "Bacterial small subunit ribosomal RNA", at positions 524 to 776 of the family's 1533-position model. The record is from RNAcentral.
UACGAAGGGGGCUAGCGUUGCUCGGAAUCACUGGGCGUAAAGCGCACGUAGGCGGACUCUUAAGUCGGUGGUGAAAUCCUGGGGCUCAACCUCGGAACUGCCUUUGAUACAGCAAGUCUUGAGUUCGAGAGAGGUGGGUGGAAUUCCUAGUGUAGAGGUGAAAUUCGUAGAUGUUAGGAAGAACACCGGUGGCGAAGGCGGCCCACUGGCUCGAUACUGACGCUGAGGUGCGAAAGCGUGGGGAGCAAACAGG